RNAcentral lists this ribosomal RNA (494 nucleotides) under uncultured bacterium. Its description in RNAcentral is "partial 16S ribosomal RNA". It matches the Rfam family "Bacterial small subunit ribosomal RNA", at positions 28 to 507 of the family's 1533-position model. The record is from RNAcentral.
GACGAACGCUGGCGGCGCGCUUAACACAUGCAAGUCGAACGGAAAGGCCUGCUUUCCCUUGUGGAUUGUGGGUACUCGAGUGGCGAACGGGUGAGUAACACGUGAGUGAUCUGCCCCCAACUUGGGUAUAAGCCUGGGAAACUGGGUCUAAUUCCCGAUAGGACUGCAGGGUGGUGCCUGUUGUGGAAAACGAUUUUCUAGUGGUUGGGGAUGAGCUCGCGGCCUAUCAGCUUGUUGGUGGGGUAAUGGCCUACCAAGGCGGCGACGGAUAGCCGGCCUAAGAGGCUGGACGGCCACAUUGGGACUGAGAUACGGCCCAGACUCCUACGGGAGGCAGCAGUGGGGAAUAUUACACGAUGGACCGAAGCCUGAUGCAGCGAGGCCGCGUGGACGAUGACGGGCUUCAGGUUGUAAACUCCUUUCGACCGCGGGGAAGCCACCUGGUUGGAAGGGUGGUGACGGUAGUGGAAGAAGAAGCACCGGCUAACUACGUG